RNAcentral lists this ribosomal RNA (253 nucleotides) under uncultured bacterium. Its description in RNAcentral is "partial 16S ribosomal RNA". It matches the Rfam family "Bacterial small subunit ribosomal RNA", at positions 524 to 776 of the family's 1533-position model. The record is from RNAcentral.
UACGAAGGGUGCAAACGUUACUCGGAAUUAUUGGGCGUAAAGCGCACGUAGGCGGCUCUAUAAGUCGGAUGUGAAAUCCCUCGGCUUAACCAAGGAAGUGCAUCCGAAACUGCAGAGCUUGAGUACUUAAGAGGAUCGCGGAAUUCCCGGUGUAGAGGUGAAAUUCGUAGAUAUCGGGAGGAACACCAGUGGCGAAGGCGGCGAUCUGGGAAGAUACUGACGCUGAGGUGCGAAAGCGUGGGGAGCAAACAGG